GACGAACGCUGGCGGCGUGCUUAACACAUGCAAGUCGAACGGAAAGGCCCUGCUUUCGUGGGGUUCUCGAGUGGCGAACGGGUGAGUAACACGUGAGUAACCUGCCCUUGACUUUGGGAUAACUUCAGGAAACUGGGGCUAAUACCGGAUAGGAGCUCCUGCUGCAUGGUGGGGGUUGGAACGUCUCGGCGGUUGGGGAUGGACUCGCGGCUUAUCAGCUUGUUGGUGGGGGAGUGGCUUACCAAGGCUUUGACCGGUAGCCGGCCCGGGAGGGUGGCCGGCGACAAGGGGACUGCGGGAGGGCGCAGUCUCGUACAGGAGACAGCAGUGGGGAGUAUUGUCCAGUGGGCGGAAGCCUGUGGAAGCGGCGCCGGGGGUGGAAUGACGGACUGCGGGGUAAGAAACGCUUCCGCUUGUGACGAAGCUGGAGUGACGGUAAUGGGUAAAGAAGCACCGGCUAACUACGUG
RNAcentral lists this ribosomal RNA (468 nucleotides) under uncultured bacterium. RNAcentral's name for it is "partial 16S ribosomal RNA". It matches the Rfam family "Bacterial small subunit ribosomal RNA", at positions 28 to 507 of the family's 1533-position model. The record is from RNAcentral.